Molecule: ribosomal RNA, 554 nt
Filed under: uncultured bacterium
Lineage: Bacteria
Description: partial 16S ribosomal RNA
Rfam family: Bacterial small subunit ribosomal RNA
Source: RNAcentral
UGGGGAAUUUUGGACAAUGGGCGAAAGCCUGAUCCAGCAAUGCCGCGUGUGUGAAGAAGGCCUUCGGGUUGUAAAGCACUUUUGUCCGGAAAGAAAUCCUUGGCUCUAAUACAGUCGGGGGAUGACGGUACCGGAAGAAUAAGCACCGGCUAACUACGUGCCAGCAGCCGCGGUAGUACGUAGGGUGCAAGCGUUAAUCGGAAUUACUGGGCGUAAAGCGUGCGCAGGCGGUUUGCUAAGACCGAUGUGAAAUCCCCGGGCUCAACCUGGGAACUGCAUUGGUGACUGGCAGGCUAGAGUAUGGCAGAGGGGGGUAGAAUUCCACGUGUAGCAGUGAAAUGCGUAGAGAUGUGGAGGAAUACCGAUGGCGAAGGCAGCCCCCUGGGCCAAUACUGACGCUCAUGCACGAAAGCGUGGGGAGCAAACAGGAUUAGAUACCCUGGUAGUCCACGCCCUAAACGAUGUCAACUAGUUGUUGGGGAUUCAUUUCCUUAGUAACGUAGCUAACGCGUGAAGUUGACCGCCUGGGGAGUACGGUCGCAAGAUUAAAACUU